Long non-coding RNA from Oxyura jamaicensis (ruddy duck), 3308 nucleotides. RefSeq lists it as uncharacterized. Lineage: Eukaryota; Metazoa; Chordata; Aves; Anseriformes; Anatidae. The record is from RefSeq and is a predicted model, not a curated record. The transcript has 3 exons.
GGGCUGCAGUAAGUGCUGGGGCCUAGGUGUCUGGAUGUGUUCAUCCCUGAAGGUUCCUGGAUGACAGACAACAAGAAGCGUGGAUGUUGACACACAACUGUCGUGAUCCAAAGCCUCAGCCAAGAAGGAGAGUGUGUCCCAGAUGAGACUAAUCUCAUAGCUCCUGUGCUUCAGGAGGGAGAUCCAGGUGGAGCUUUAAAGUCCCUCCCAUCCUGUGGCAUGUCCUGUCUCCAUUGCGAGGCUGACAUGGCACACACAUUCAUGUGCAACCCUUUGGACCGUUCCUGGAUUGAAUUUCCCUUUUCACUGCUUGUGGCCCUGCCAUGCUAAGGAUCCCACCAACACAAGCCCAGGUACCAACAUCUGCAGGUCAGGACUUGACUCUGCAUUACAGGGCUAGCAGAACGAGUUGCUAAGACAGAUGGAGAUACUUUCCUGUCUGCUGUGCUCUCCCCCUUGGUGGAUCUGUGCACUCAGGCUGAAAUUUGACUUCCCUUUUACAGAUUUCCUGCUAAUAGCCCAAGCCAUGUGUCAUUGCUUAAAGAACUCUAUUUCCUCACCUCGCUCUGUCUCAAAGCAUGAAAGAAAGUGAUUUGUACUUCCAAAAGGAAGCUGCGUAGUGAGCCUGGAAGGUGUCCCAGGAAACCAUCAUCAAGGCAUCAAUUAUUCAUGCAAGACGCAGCAUACCACAAGAAAGACAGAGCCGGUGGUUCACACAUGUUGCUGUAAUGACAUAAUUUGCCCUGCUCUUUCCUGAAAGUGGCAUUUCCAGAGGAAAAGGUGAGUUUAUACCCCUUCCAAGGAGAAUGUGACAGCAUGUGCACCCACACAGAAGCUGAGAUGAGCAAACUGUAGUACCCCGCAGGCAAACCAAAGAGGCACACCCCUGUUGCACAACCUUUCUCCUCCUCCUUGCUCCAGGAAGGAUGGGUUCAGGGAUUUACUACGUCUGCUUUUCACCUGCCCGGCUGCACCAGUGCCUCCCAGGAGGUGCUGGAGCCAAGUCCCUCCUGCUGCCCCAGGCUGGCCCAAGUGCAGGAGGAGGGGAAAAUUUGGCGGGUGCAGGCUGAGCUCUGGGCCUGGGGCACCGAGAAGGCUCCUCCUGUGAACUCACUGCUGCAAGGGACAACAAGUCAACCCGGAUCUGGUGCAAACGGGCCGGUCUACCUGCUCCCAGUAUGCCCAGGACACCCAUGACCAAAAGCUGCACGCAGAGAACUCCAGCACGCACACCUGGUCCCAGACAAGUUCUUCUGGCCCAGGAUAUCAAUGGGGUGUGUGAAGAAGGCAUUCUUUAGCCAUGUGGUUGACACUCUUCAAAAGAAAUGGAAAAGCAAAAAGAUGUGAUCCUGCAAGCCUGUACGCCCUGAAACUCUCCCAUAGACUGAGCUGGGCUGUGCAGAGCUGCAGGACUGAGUGCCUGCACUCAGCCCACAGCAUGGCUCAUACGGGGAUUAACAGCAAGCUCCGCAGGCAGAGAAAUCCGCCCAGCUGCGCUCUGUUGCUGGACAACGCCGGUGACACCGUCAGUGAUCCGUGGAGUGAAUGAAAUACGCAGUAAAGGCAGGAUCCUGUGGAAUUGCAGCUAGGCGCUCCACCCACUCGGCUUGGCACAAGCGCCGCGGGCAGGCGGCCAGCCCUGAUGAUUUUCCCUCCCUCACUGGGACACGCAGUGGCUGUAACUCAUCUGAUCACAUCGUUACAUCACUGUGGGAAUACUAUGCACUAACGAGUCAGUGUAAAUGCAUGGAAGUACAUGCUCAUGUAAUCCAGGCUAGAGCAAAUCUAGUGGUUUAUGUUGCGCUUUUCCUCUUAAGAAGCCAAACCCGGUCACAAAUAUUUUUCUCCACUAACUCUGCCAGCAGGCUUAAGAGCCAGGAACACACGCUAGUCUUAUCAAACAGCUAGCAUUAUGGUAUUAUUUCUUUUUACGAUUGUUUCAAGAAUGGAACUUUCUGCUUGGUACUGCAGAACCUCAGCAGAUGGGAACAGAAAGAGCAAUGAGACCGGCCGAAAUGCCUUUUCACUCGGUUUGCACCCACUCCAACUGGCCUAAAUAACAGCAAGAGGGACAGCACAGCAGCAUGUACAUAUGCAAGAAAUCAGAAAAUUUAGCAGUCUGAGGUGCUGUGCAAGGCUGUCACACUUCUUUUCAACUGUGCCUGAAGUUACAACCGGGUAACAUGGAAGAUGCGCUCAGGAGCCAGCUCUGCUUGGGUGUGAGACACCGGCCAUGCAGGCUUGGGGUCAAAUCAGGGCUAGCACUGUUCCGUGCAGCCAAGCACGUACAUGAAUGCAGCUACAGACACAGCUGACACUGUACAAACAUCUGCAGGCAAAAUGUUUCCUACAUCAGAAGUUUGCUCUCAAGGCCACUUACUAAGACUGCUUUCUUUUGUUGUUCCUAAGUAAGCGUAUGGCUAUAUGGCAAGCAAGCUAAUUAGGUGGGGAAUUUCAGACCUGAAGCUAAAAUUCCUUUAAGCCUUAAUUCUUCAAACCUAUAUGCACAAAUCUUCCUUCUGACAUGGAGCAGUCCUGCUGGAUUCAGAGUCUGCAGUGGGUACAGACACUUGCAGGCUAACAUAAGCAGGAGUGGGGCAGCACAGGAGAGCAUUAGAAGUGACCGCACCAGCCAGCCUGUAUUGCUAGGAGCAAAGAGAGUUUAGCUGUCUGUCAGAGAAAAAGAGCUCAUAAGUUCCCUGGAUAUAGAGAAAGCUUUGAUGGGAAGUAAAAACUGGGAUGCAAACUUUAGGAUCAGACUGUAGUUAUCCCAAAUCUUAUCUCCACAGGAGUUUGCACUGAUAAUACAUGAGAGCCCCAGCUGUCCGCCCAAUCAUGUACAAAUGCACUGACCCACUGACAUCAGCAGCACGCUCAGCAGAUGUUUGCUGGAACAGGACAUGGUAGGGGAAGUCUCAGAGCUAAUCCAAAGGAAAGGAGGAAAAUGAGCUGUAGUAUCAAAAUCUGGCUGAAAUCAGCAGAGGCACAAAUUUUCAAUCAACUAGAGCUUUCUCUUAAGCAUUUUCUGCAGCAGUCCAGUAAAAGUUUUAAAGGUGUACGCUGUGCUGUGACCUUAGUGAAAUUACAGCAAGAGGAACAGAAACCGUUAGUUAAAAAGACCGAACAAUCAUAAGAGUUGUCCCUGGCAGACUGGCUCUGAGUAAGGAAGGCAGAAGGUAACAGCGAACUUCUCGCCUUCCCCUAAACACGAGAAACUCAUAAAGAGAGAAGAAGAACCAGAAAAAACAAACAAGCAAACAACGGGGGAUGGGGAACACCACGCUCCCCUCCUCGCAGGGCAGCAGGUC